AUGUGCUGCGGCGCCGAGGUGGCGGACCCUGGAGAGCACCGGCGGCGGCUGGCCGCCGGCGACGACGACGGGGGAGACGGACGGGAGGAGCAUGCACCGUCCUCGCCGCCGCCCAACACGACGAUGUGGCGGCGCAGGCAGGCGCAGGAGAUGUCGGCCAUGGUGUCGGCGCUAGCUCAGGUCGUCGCCGGCGGCGUGGGCGAGGGUGGCAUGGCGUCUUCGACCAAGAGACCCGCCGAGCACGAGGCCUUCGCGGAGGAGGCGUGGUGGUCGACGUCGUACGGAGGCGGAGACGGAGACGGCGGAGCGCCGUCGGCGGCCUCUCCCUUCCUUGCCGAUUACACGGCGGCGCCCGCGGCAUCCUACUCGCCGCACGGUGCGGCAGCCGGCGACGAGGAGCUUCCUUCGCCGUCCUCCGCCGAGUCCGGCGGCUCCGGGGGCGCGCCGAGGAAGCGGUACAGGGGCGUGCGGCAGCGGCCGUGGGGGAAGUGGGCGGCGGAGAUUCGUGACCCGCACAAGGCGGCGCGUGUGUGGCUCGGGACCUUCGACGACGCCGAGGCCGCCGCGCGUGCCUACGACGCCGCCGCCCUCGGAUUCCGCGGCAGCCGCGCCAAGCUCAACUUCCCCGAGUCGGCCACCAUCCCGCCGCAGCAGCAGCCUCCUCCUGCGCCGGCAUUAGCGAUGCCACCGCCGCAGCGGCCCGAGGCGCUGCUGGAGUCGCAGGCUCUGUUGGGAGGGCAGGCCUAUUCCCACUACGCCAGGUUCCUGCUGCCGAGCACCGGCGGCUCGACGUCGGGGGCGCCGAGAACGCCGGCGCCUCCUCUGAUUUACAGCUUCGGAGCCGGAGCGAGCUACCCCUUGCAGCCGGAGAGCAGAGGUGAGGGUGCCGGUACAGAACGCCCGGGCCCGGGGGUGACCUCAGCAGCGGCGUGGGCAGCCUACAGCCACGAGCAGCCUCAGCGGCGGGAUGACCCGUCGGUGUGA
Molecule: ribosomal RNA, 984 nt
Filed under: Triticum aestivum (bread wheat)
Lineage: Eukaryota; Viridiplantae; Streptophyta; Magnoliopsida; Poales; Poaceae
Description: partial small subunit ribosomal RNA
Source: RNAcentral